UACAGAGGGUGCAAGCGUUGUUCGGAAUUACUGGGCGUAAAGCGUGCGUAGUCGGUAUUGAGAGUCACGGGUGAAAUCCCAAGGCUUAACCUUGGAACUGCCUGUGAGACCUCAGUACUAGAGUGUGAGAGGGGAUAGUGGAAUGCCAAGUGUAGCGGUGAAAUGCGUAGAGAUUUGGCGGAACACCGGUGGCGAAGGCGGCUAUCUGGCUCACAACUGACGAUCAGGCACGAAAGCGUGGGGAGCAAAC
RNAcentral lists this ribosomal RNA (250 nucleotides) under uncultured bacterium. RNAcentral's name for it is "partial 16S ribosomal RNA". It matches the Rfam family "Bacterial small subunit ribosomal RNA", at positions 524 to 773 of the family's 1533-position model. The record is from RNAcentral.